CUGGCGGCCUUAGCGCGGUGGUCCCACCUGACCCCAUGCCGAACUCAGAAGUGAAACGCCGUAGCGCCGAUGGUAGUGUGGGGUUUCCCCAUGCGAGAGUAGGGAACUGCCAGGU
Molecule: ribosomal RNA, 115 nt
Filed under: Escherichia coli
Lineage: Bacteria; Pseudomonadati; Pseudomonadota; Gammaproteobacteria; Enterobacterales; Enterobacteriaceae
Source: RNAcentral